ACGGACAAAGGGCAGCAAGUUCGCGAGGACAAGCAAAUCCCAUAAACCGUGGCUCAGUUCAGAUCGUAGGCUGCAACUCGCCUACGUGAAGGCGGAAUCGCUAGUAAUCGCAGGUCAGCAUACUGCGGUGAAUACGUUCCCGGGCCUUGUACACACCGCCCGUCACACCAUGGAAGUUGGCCACGCCCGAAGCCGUUACUCCAACCCUUGUGGAGGAGGACGUCGAAGGUGGGGCUGAUGACUGGGGUGAAGUCGUAACAAGGUAUCCGUACCGGAAGGUGCGGAUGGAUCACCUCCUAA
This 300-nucleotide ribosomal RNA is filed under the name Synechococcus sp. WH 8002. RNAcentral describes it as "partial 16S ribosomal RNA". It matches the Rfam family "Bacterial small subunit ribosomal RNA", at positions 1235 to 1533 of the family's 1533-position model. Lineage: Bacteria; Bacillati; Cyanobacteriota; Cyanophyceae; Synechococcales; Synechococcaceae. The record is from RNAcentral.